This 7883-nucleotide long non-coding RNA is filed under the name Lactuca sativa (garden lettuce). Its description in RNAcentral is "long non-coding RNA (LSAT_LNC006004)". Lineage: Eukaryota; Viridiplantae; Streptophyta; Magnoliopsida; Asterales; Asteraceae. The record is from RNAcentral.
AGAACCUGAUCAUCGAUCUUACCCCAUUUGUCUAUGAGCCUAUAUGUUGUAUGUGGUUGAGUGUCUCAAAUACUCACAUCUCAUAGACGCACUGACUAAAGUUGAAGUGGUUCCCAUGUCGUGCUUGUCUCUUGUCUACUCUACUUCAUUCUAUGACAAGAUCAAUGAACGGAUUCAUUUUGAACUCCACGAUGAGAAGACCUCCAUCUCCAAGAAUCGACUUUGUGCCCUAAAUUGUCUUUCUCAAGAUCCAUGUCUGGUAAACCCUGAUUCCAUUAGAACUGGUCAACUGUUCUCUAUGUUCUAUCAGAUGGGGUAUACUGAAACCCUAACCACUGUUACGAAGUUCAAGAAGUCUUGCCUUCCUCCUCAAUAGAAUGGCCUUUUCACACUAUUGUUCAAAGGACUGUCUUAGAGAAGAGCUGGCUCUGAUGGUGCAAGCAAGUCAUUCAUGAUGGUGCUGUAUAGCUUGUACAAUGGACUUAACCUAGAUUAUGGGUCCAUUAUCUGGCAGCAGUUGGUUCAAAGCUUGGUUUCUUCAUCCAGGCACUAUGUGAUCUCGUGUGGGCGUUUCUGGUCUCUCAUCACCAACUGGGAAAUGGAUCGCCUUCGUGUUCCAAUAAUGGCGGACUCCUUACUCUCAUCCAUUGGUACUUUUCAUACGACAAAAAUCAUCGUCACUGACCCAACCAAGUUUUCAUUCAUUGGACCCAUUCCUGACACAAUGCUUAGUCGUAUUUCUGUGUCGACUAACGUUCUUCAAUAGUACAGGAAGCGUCCAUCUGUUGGUCCAAGAGAGCUUACACCUGCUAUGCUUUGUUCAAUUGAAGAGGCUGACAACCCAACCAAGAGGGGUAAGAAGCCUGAAACACAAAAAGAGGGACCGGUCAUUAAACUGUAACAUCCAAAAUUUCAAAACAAUUAAAACUUUUCAAAAACCACUCAUUUUAAUAAAGUUGUUACAAAAAGGUUUUCAAUACAUUAUUUAACAGAGUAUUCUCCCAGGUUCAUAUCAUAAAACAUCAACGCGAGGAACGGUACGAUCACGCCUUUGCCUUGCCACAGACUCUUGAGAACCUGAAACAUAAAACCACAACUGUAAGCCCGAAAGCUUAGUGAGAUACCCCCAAAAUACCAACCACAUAUACGCCCUUCCAGGCCACGACCUUCCGGUCCAUGUGUCUCAGGGGACUUCCGUCCCUGCUGGGUAAACCUUCCGGUCCUACCCACGCCGACCUUCCGGUCCACAACACAACAUAUUGCCUUCCGGCCCAUAACAUAUUGCCUUCCGGCCCAUAACAUAUUGCCUUCCGGCCCAUAGCAUAAAAUGCAUACAUAACAUAACAAAUCAUAGAUCGACCCUACAUAUCGGGUCACACCCCAGAUCUAGCAAUCAUAACACAUAAUCAUAUAGCAGUUCACAGACAACAAUCGAUCAACAGAUCACAUAUCAUAGCAUUACUCUAAACAAGAUACCGGUCUAGCCGGUCACUAGCAUAACAUUACCCUACGAAUCAGUCAACAUACUAAAUGCAUACAUACGCCUUUCCAGGCCAUGACCUUCCGGUCCACAUAGCAAUGCCUUCCGGCCCAUAUCAUGUAAUGACAACUACCCGGAUUUCCAUCCGAUAAAAGGGUCGGCCUUGGUGCCAUGAACCCUAGCGAUAUAGUGAGGAUAACUCACCUCGAAACUGCCGACUGAACAGAUAGCUCAAGCUGCUCCGAUCACUGAUACGAUCUCCACCUCUGGACAGCCACCAAUGCACUGAACUCAAACAAUAAACAACAAUUACCAAAAUACCCCUGGAACCACUGGUCAAUCCUUGGUCAAAGACAAGGUCAAAGUCAACCCCUGACUGACCCUACUCGCCGAGUCAACCCUAUGACUCGCCGAGUCCCCAUACUCAGAACUUCACUCAACCCGCGAUCUAACUCGCCGAGUCACCCCAAGACUCGCCGAGUUCAACAACUCUGAGUCCACUCGCCCUUGACUCACCGAUUCUCUAAGAUUCCCUUUCUACACGUCGAGUAUCCCCCUUGGCUCGACGAGUUCCUCCUGGACGAAUCGCGGGGCCACCCCGACUCAACUCGCCGAGUCUGAAGAACAACUCGACGAGUCCCAGUUAAUCUUCAAGCUACUCGCCGAGUCUGUUCAUCGGACUCGGCGAGUCCAUGCCAUGCAACCGCUCAAACUGCUUUCUAAGGUCAGAACUGCUCCGACCAUUCAUAGGUCUGGCCUUCCUAGACUGAUUCAUCACGUAAGGUCCUCAUUUCGGUGCUCAUAAUACACCCCAUGACUCAUAAUUUACAUUUUGACCUAAGGCAUAAGGAUUCCAAUCCAAAACCUCCAUUAAUUCCCGAAAUGCUCAGGCAUGGGACAUUCUGGACUUCUAAAAAUCCCAAUACAGGGUUUCAAUCGUUUGGGGGACAAAGGUAACACUCAAUCUAGCCACAAAAGGGUUCAAUAAACCCUAAAUCCAUAUACAUAUCAACAUAGAAGAAUGUAACACGAAAUAUUACCUGAAUAAUGUGCUCUCUGUGUCCCCAAAUCCUCAGAACGUGGCUUCCCUUGUUGUUCCCUUAACCAAGCCUCCUCUUCCUUGCAAAACAACACUUCCAAAAUCAACAAUGGCCUUCUACCUUGCUCCAGAUGCUCACAAUCGAAUUAGGGUUUCUCUCAGAGGACUAGGGUGAACAAUGACGGCCAUAAGAUCCCUCUUAUACGUCCUAACCCAGAACGGUUAGGGUUUUCGCUUAACAGCGCAGACUCGCCGAGUCCAUAUCCGGACUCGUCGAGUACAGUUGCGAUCCCGCGACCCGAUCCGCGAUCCUACUCGGCGAGUCUAGGCCCCAACUCGCCGAGUCCCCUCUUAAAAUACCCAAAAUCGCAAAUAUAACAAUACCUGAAAUUUCGGGCUGUUACAGCUCUCCCCCACUAGGACUAGACUUCGUCCUCGAAGUCUCAUUCUGAAAAUAGCUCCAGAUGCUGCUCCCGCAUCUCAUGCUCCGGCUCCCAGGUCAUUUCCGAUCCCUUCCGGUGCUGCCACUGCACUAACACUAGAGGUAUCUCCUUAUUCCUCAGAAUAUUGAUCUUCCAAUCUCUGAUGGCCACUGGUCUCUCGCAUAAUUCAGACUCGCAUUCACCUGAAGGUCCUCUAAUGGAACUACUGCCAACUCAUCGGCUAUACACUUUCUCAAUUGCGACACAUGAAAAGUGUCGUGGAUCUGCCCCAACUCUGCUGGCAACUCCAAACGAUAGACCACCGGCCUAUCCUUGCAAUCACACGAAAUGGCCCAACAUACCGGGGUCCCAACUUGCCCCUCUUCCUGAAUCGAAUCACUCCUUUCCAAGGAGAGACCUUCAGGAGAACGAAGUCACCGACUUGAAACUCAAGCUCGGAUCGGCGUCUGUCUGCAUAACUCUUCUAUCGGCUCUGGGCGGUCAAUAACCUCUGUCUAACCUGCUGAAUCUGCUCUGUCGACUGAAGCACGAUCUCUGUGCUGCCCAUCACUCUCUGUAACCAAGAAUUACCCAAGAUGCAAUUCUGCUCUAAAUCUCAACAAUCACCCGACCCUGAUCAGAAUCACACUGAGAAUUCAGGAUUCUCUCUCCUCCUGCAUCCCUUCUGAGUCUCGACAGACAUCCCAAACCGGAUGGGUUCCUACUUCGCUGCCGCGAACACGAUGCUCAAAACCAUACUCGAAAUACUCUAACCAUAACUCUGCUCUGCCGCUUUCACUUUCGUGAACUUGCACUCCUUUUCGGAGUUACACACCUUUCUCUUCCUGUUCCAAGGAACCCUCUUGGCCAUAAUGCCACCCCAACCGGUGCCACGGUGCUCGCCCCAAGCGACACCACCCUUAUUGCGUAACCGCUAUUCACAUACUUUGGCUCUCGUUGCAGGGGUUCUCAAGCCCAUGCACUCUCUCCACUCCACCAACUCACUAUCUCAACUAAACAAAAUCACUAAUCCGGGGCUAGACCUUCCAAUGUAAUCACACCGCAACAUACAAAAUCCGAACUCUCAAACUGAUCCAACAAUACCAUCAGAGUCCCCAGUAUGUCUGGACCGACUCUCAUAACACACACUAGCCACUCGAGGCUAUAUCUCUGUGGGUCCGUACACCCAACUCUGUGAACCCUCAGGUUCUAACUCUGGGAACCUUCCGGUUCCAAUUCUAGAAACAUGCACAACAUAAAUUCCGUGGGAUUAAUGCAGUACAACCCAUCACGUACAUCAAGCAUACAAAUACUCUAAUCGUAUAACCCCGGUUACCUACUCAAACUUGAUCCCGGCCUGCUCCCAGGCCUCCACAAUGAAAUGCCCUAGGUCUGUAUGCCGCCCCGCAUACCCGACACUCGCUCUUGUCAGCCUGUACUCUGAGCUGGCAGAAUACUGUUGAAUCCCAACAGCUAAGCACCCUCACAUACUCAUCGAUCUCCCGGAGAAUUCUCCAAUUCUCCCCCACUUAAAGCACUGACUAACAGCCACCGAUCGCCAUUAACGACCUUCCAGGACAACCCCGCACAAAGAGAACACUUACACACUGACUGUUUCCCACAAGCAUAAGAAACCCUCAACAAACACAUCUCUUCCCUGAUCAAUUCACUCAAGAGAAUCCGGUCUUUCAAUUAUCCACUCCACGACUGCAGAUGCUACCCGACAUCCAAACCAGUGCCGCAUCUCCACUAUCAACUCUCACGAAUGAUAACCAACGGAAUUCCCAAACAAUAACCCAUAACCAAACCCACAACCUGCAAAAGGAUGAAUACCGCAUCGAAAACCGCACAAGGAUACCGGCACCAAAACACCAAACUAUAACCAUACCAAACCAUCAGGGAACAACGAAUGCCAAAGCGAAAACCUGAAACACCAAUCCAUAACCAUUCCAAACCCGCAAAGCAACGAAUACCGCAUCGAAAACCGCACAAGGAUACCGGCACAAACAAUAUGUCACAAUCAAGACAUCAAGAAAGCAUCAUACCCGCAGCUGCCUCCGGCACUGCUCCGUCUCCCUCUGCCGCAAGCUGAUAAGCACGACCCUGAGCCCUUGGGGCUCCGCUCCAUCCUGUCCUCCUCCUGAACUCCUCAAGGUGGCCGGUGCUAGAGCCUGCACCGGUCCUGCAGAAAGCUGUGGACAGUUGACCCUCAAAUGUCCAACCUGCCGACAAUGAUAACAAAUCCUCAAAUCCCGAAUCGGCACUGACUGCCGACAAUCCCGCGCAUAGUGCCCCUCCUUUCCGCACUUGCGGCAUGCACCACCGGACCAGCAAACUCCGGUGUNNNNNNNNNNNNNNNNNNNNNNNNNNNNNNNNNNNNNNNNNNNNNNNNNNNNNNNNNNNNNNNNGGCUGCGACUGCAUCGGAGCCUGCCUCAGCUCACGCAACUGCAACUCAACCUCUAACUCACGCCGCAUGGCGGCCUCCUGCAACACCAACAAGGUCUCGCACCUCUGCGCAGACACGAACUGUCUGAUAUCCCCCUUGAGCAUACUCAGAUAUCGGGACAGCUGAACUUGCUCCGAAGAGAACUCAGGGCAAAACAUCGCCCUCUCAAUAAACAUCCUGGUGAUCUCAGUCACCGACUCCGAAUCCUGCUUCAACCCAAGGAACUCCCGGGCCAAUCUCUCCCUCUCAUCUCGCGGAACAUAGCGAGUACUGAACAUCUCUCUGAACCGAUCCCCUGAAACCGCAGCCCCCUGCGCAUCGAAAUAUGACCCCGUGGUCAAUCUCCACCAAUCCUUCGCCCCGAGCCUCAAUAGGUUCAGAGCACACCUCACCCUCUGAUCAGCAGGGCAUAAACUCGUGGAGAAACACCCCUCCACGUCUGAUAACCAUCUCAUAGCAACAAUCGGGUCCUGAACUCCAUCGAAUGUGGGAGGCUUCGUAUAAUAGAAGUCCCGAUACUGAAAACCCCGACUAGCUCCUCNNNNNNNNNNNNNNNNNNNNNNNNNNNNNNNNNNNNNNNNNNNNNNNNNNNNNNNNNNNNNNNNNNNNNNNNNNNNNNNNNNNNNNNNNNNNNNNNNNNNNNNNNNNNNNNNNNNNNNNNNNNNNNNNNNNNNNNNNNNNNNNNNNNNCAUCCAACUCGCUCGAGCUCGUCUGGUCGAUAACCUCAGACGACACUGAUCCACCCGGAACUCGCUCUCCAGCUCCCGAUCCUGAUCCGGAUCCACUAUCAUCAUGCCUCGAAAUCUCCAUACUGAAGACACCAUACCCAUCUCAGACACUUUCCACAAUCCUGAGAUCCAACUCUCGCAACCCAACCCCUAGAGAUCAUGGUUUUCCUGAUACGCGUAUGGGUCCUGUGCUUUCAGUAGUAUGGGCCCAUACUACCUUCCACACCUACCCANACCCCCAUCACGCAGGAUAUUGCGAAUCCUCGCAUCCAACUCGCUCGAGCUCGUCUGGUCGAUAACCUCAGACGACACUGAUCCACCCGGAACUCGCUCUCCAGCUCCCGAUCCUGAUCCGGAUCCACUAUCAUCAUGCCUCGAAAUCUCCAUACUGAAGACACCAUACCCAUCUCAGACACUUUCCACAAUCCUGAGAUCCAACUCUCGCAACCCAACCCCUAGAGAUCAUGGUUUUCCUGAUACGCGUAUGGGUCCUGUGCUUUCAGUAGUAUGGGCCCAUACUACCUUCCACACCUACCCAUAUUUGUAUGAAGUACUACCACAAAACCCUAGAGCACAUGCAUAACAACUAUCAACCCUCCCCACUAGAGGAAUACUGAGAAUACCCCAUAAGGGACCCUAGGCUACAGGCAUCACAAAUCAGGCAACAUUAUCAUGAAUUCCUGAAGAUCCCUAGCCUAACUCUAGCAUGCUGUGCUAUCAAGCUCAAUAAAACAAAUACCAUGUAUGGUAUCUUGGGGUUAAUUACUGGCUCCGGCUGAUCGUACCUCCGCGUCCUCCUUUUAUUAAAUUUGAAAACCAUUUUAAUUUCUCUUUUUAAAAUCCUCCUCGAUUUGAGACUGGAGUCACACGAAUGUUUCCCCAAUUCACUCAAACCAAGGCUCUGAUACCAACUUGUAACAUCCAAAAUUUCAAAACAAUUAAAACUUUUCAAAAACCACUCAUUUUAAUAACGUUGUUACAAAAAGGUUUUCAAUACAUUAUUUAACAGAGUAUUUUCCCAGGUUCAUAUCAUAAAACACCAACGCGAGGAACGGUACGAUCACGCCUUUGCCUUGCCACAGACUCCUGAGAACCUGAAACAUAAAACCACAACUGUAAGCCCGAAAGCUUAGUGAGAUACCCCCAAAAUACCAACCACAUAUACGCCCUUCCAGGCCACGACCUUCCGGUCCAUGUGUCUCAGGGGACUUCCGUCCCUGCUGGGUAAACCUUCCGGUCCUACCCACGCCGACCUUCCGGUCCAUAACACAACAUAUUGCCUUCCGGCCCAUAACAUAUUGCCUUCCGGCCCAUAACAUAUUGCCUUCCGGCCCAUAACAUAUUGCCUUCCGGCCCAUAAGCAUAAAAUGCAUAUAUAACAUAACAAAUAAUCAUAUAGCAGUUCAUAGACAACAAUCGAUCAACAGAUCACAUAUCAUAGCAUUACUCUAAACAAGAUACCGGUCUAGCCGGUCACUAGCAUAACAUUACCCUACGAAUCAGUCAACAUACUAAAUGCAUACAUACGCCUUUCCAGGCCAUGACCUUCCGGUCCACAUAGCAAUGCCUUCCGGCCCAUAACAUGUAAUGACAACUACCCGGAUUUCCAUCCGAUAAAAGGGUCGGCCUUGGUGCCAUAAACCCUAGCGAUAUAGUGAGGAUAACUCACCUCGAAACUGCCGACUGAACAGAUAGCUCAAGCUGCUCCGAUCACUGAUACGAUCUCCACCUCUGGACAGCCACCAAUGCACUGAACUCAAACAAUAA